GGUUGUGGCUCAGAGGUAGAGUGCUUGCCUAGCAUGCAUGAGGCACUGGGUUCGAUCCUCAUCACCA
This 67-nucleotide transfer RNA is filed under the name Marmota monax (woodchuck). RNAcentral describes it as "tRNA.Ala". Lineage: Eukaryota; Metazoa; Chordata; Mammalia; Rodentia; Sciuridae. The record is from RNAcentral.